This 440-nucleotide ribosomal RNA is filed under the name uncultured bacterium. RNAcentral's name for it is "partial 16S ribosomal RNA". It matches the Rfam family "Bacterial small subunit ribosomal RNA", at positions 338 to 795 of the family's 1533-position model. The record is from RNAcentral.
CCUACGGGGGGCAGCAGUGGGGAAUAUUGCACAAUGGGGGAAACCCUGAUGCAGCGACGCCGCGUGAGCGAUGAAGUAUUUCGGUAUGGAAAGCUCUAUCAGUAGGGAAGAAAAUGACGGUACCUGACUAAGAAGCCCCGGCUAACCACGGGCCAGCAGCCGCGGUAAUACGUAGGGGGCAAGCGUUAUCCGGAUUUACUGGGUGUAAAGGGAGCGUAGACGGCGGUGCAAGCCAGAUGUGAAAGCUCGGGGCGCAACCCCGGGACUGCAUUUGGAACUGUGCUGCUAGAGUGUCGGAGAGGCAGGCGGAAUUCCUAGUGUAGCGGUGAAAUGCGUAGAUAUUAGGAGGAACACCAGUGGCGAAGGCGGCCUGCUGGACGAUGACUGACGUUGAGGCUCGAAAGCGUGGGGAGCAAACAGGAUUAGAUACCCGAGUAGUC